UACGGAAGGCAGCAGUGGGGAAUAUUGCACAAUGGGCGCAAGCCUGAUGCAGCCAUGCCGCGUGUAUGAAGAAGGCCUUCGGGUUGUAAAGUACUUUCAGUCGUGAGGAAGGUGUUAAGGUUAAUAACCUUAGCAAUUGACGUUAGCGACAGAAGAAGCACCGGCUAACUCCGUGCCAGCAGCCGCGGUAAUACGGAGGGUGCGAGCGUUAAUCGGAAUUACUGGGCGUAAAGGGCACGCAGGCGGUUAAUUAAGUUGGAUGUGAAAUCCCCGGGCUUAACCUGGGAAUGGCAUUCAAGACUGGUUAGCUAGAGUCUUGUAGAGGGGGUAGAAUUCCAUGUGUAGCGGUGAAAUGCGUAGAGAUGUGGAGGAAAUACCGGGUGGCGAAGGCGGCCCCUGGGACAAAGACUGACGCUCAUGUGCGAAAGCGUGGGGAGCAAAACAGGAUUAGAUACC
Molecule: ribosomal RNA, 456 nt
Filed under: uncultured bacterium
Lineage: Bacteria
Description: bacterial SSU rRNA
Rfam family: Bacterial small subunit ribosomal RNA
Source: RNAcentral